Molecule: ribosomal RNA, 253 nt
Filed under: uncultured bacterium
Lineage: Bacteria
Description: partial 16S ribosomal RNA
Rfam family: Bacterial small subunit ribosomal RNA
Source: RNAcentral
UACAGAGGUGGCAAGCGUUGUUCGGAAUUACUGGGCGUAAAGGGCGCGUAGGCGGCCCGUCAAGUCCCGUGUGAAAGCCCCCGGCUCAACCGGGGAACGGCGCGGGAAACUAGCAGGCUUGAGUUCGGGAGAGGGAAGCGGAAUUCCGGGUGUAGCGGUGAAGUGCGCAGAUAUCCGGAGGAACACCGGUGGCGAAGGCGGCUUACUGGUCCGGUUCUGACGCUGAGGCGCGAAAGCGUGGGGAGCAAACAGG